CAAGGAAUUGACGGGACCGCACAAGCGGUGGAUGAUGUGGUUUAAUUCGAUGCAACGCGAAAAACCUUCCACCUUUGACAUGUACGGAAUCCUUUAGAGAUAGAGGAGUGCUCGAAAGAGAGCCGUAACACAGGUGCUGCAUGGCUGUUGUCAGCUCGUGUCGUGAGAUGUUGGGUUAAGUCCCGCAACGAGCGCAACCCUUGUCAUUAGUUGCUACGAAAGGGCACUCAAUGAGACUGCCGGUGACAAACCGGAGGAAGGUGGGGAUGACGUCAAGUCCUCAUGGCCCUUAUGGGUAGGGCUUCACACGUCAUACAAUGGUCGGUACAGAGGGUUGCCAACCCGCGAGGGGGAGCUAAUCCCACAAAGCCGAUCGUAGUCCGGAUCGCAGUCUGCAACUCGGCUGCGUGAAGUCGGAAUCGCUAGUAAUCGUGGAUCAGCAUGUCACGGUGAAUACGUUCCCGGGUCUU
This 470-nucleotide ribosomal RNA is filed under the name uncultured Rhodocyclaceae bacterium. Its description in RNAcentral is "bacterial SSU rRNA". It matches the Rfam family "Bacterial small subunit ribosomal RNA", at positions 904 to 1382 of the family's 1533-position model. Lineage: Bacteria; Pseudomonadati; Pseudomonadota; Betaproteobacteria; Rhodocyclales; Rhodocyclaceae. The record is from RNAcentral.